GACGAACGCUGGCGGCGUGCUUAACACAUGCAAGUCGAACGGAAAGGCCUGCUUUCCCUUGUGGAUUGCGGGUACUCGAGUGGCGAACGGGUGAGUAACACGUGAGUGAUCUGCCCCCAACUUGGGUAUAAGCCUGGGAAACUGGGUCUAAUUCCCGAUAGGACUGCAGGGUGGUGCCUGUGGUGGAAAACGAUUUUCUAGUGGUUGGGGAUGAGCUCGCGGCCUAUCAGCUUGUUGGUGGGGUAAUGGCCUACCAAGGCGCCGACGGGUAGCCGGCCUGGGAGGGUGGACGGCCACAUUGGGACUGAGAUACGGCCCAGACUCCUACGGGAGGCAGCAGUGGGGAAUAUUGCACAAUGGGCGGAAGCCUGAUGCAGCGACGCCGCGUGGGGGAUGACGGCCUUCGGGUUGUAAACUCCUUUCGACCGCGAGGAAGCCACCUGGUUGGAAGGGUGGUGACGGUAGUGGUAGAAGAAGCACCGGCUAACUACGUG
Molecule: ribosomal RNA, 494 nt
Filed under: uncultured bacterium
Lineage: Bacteria
Description: partial 16S ribosomal RNA
Rfam family: Bacterial small subunit ribosomal RNA
Source: RNAcentral